RNAcentral lists this ribosomal RNA (673 nucleotides) under Clostridioides difficile. RNAcentral's name for it is "partial 23S ribosomal RNA". It matches the Rfam family "Bacterial large subunit ribosomal RNA", at positions 1525 to 2210 of the family's 2925-position model. The record is from RNAcentral. Lineage: Bacteria; Bacillati; Bacillota; Clostridia; Peptostreptococcales; Peptostreptococcaceae.
AGUCAAAGUAGGCAAAUCCGCUUUGAUAAUGCUGGGAUGUGAUGGGGAGCGAAAUUUAGUAGCGAAGUAGCUGAUUUCACACUGUCAAGAAAAGUCUCUAUCGAGGUUAAAGGUACCCGUACCGCAAACCGACACAGGUGGGUGAGGAGAGUAUCCUAAGGCCAGCGAGAGAACUGUUGUUAAGGAACUCGGCAAAAUGACCCCGUAACUUAGGGAUAAGGGGUGCCACCAUCAGGUGGCCGCAGAGAAUAGGCCCAAGCGACUGUUUACCAAAAACAUAGGUUUCUGCUAAGUCGCAAGACGAUGUAUAGGAGCUGACGCCUGCCCGGUGCUGGAAGGUUAAGGGGAUCUGUUAGAGCAAUCGAAGCAGUGAACUUAAGCCCCAGUAAACGGCGGCCGUAACUAUAACGGUCCUAAGGUAGCGAAAUUCCUUGUCGGGUAAGUUCCGACCCGCACGAAAGGCGUAACGAUUUGGGCACUGUCUCAACAACAGACUCGGUGAAAUUGUAAUUCCGGUGAAGAUGCCGGAUACCUGCGACAGGACGGAAAGACCCCAUGGAGCUUUACUGUAGCUUGACAUUGGGUCUUGGUACUACAUGUACAGGAUAGGUGGGAGGCUUUGAAACCAGGACGCCAGUUUUGGCGGAGCCAUCCUUGGGAUACCACCCUUGUA